This 350-nucleotide ribosomal RNA is filed under the name uncultured bacterium. Its description in RNAcentral is "partial 16S ribosomal RNA". It matches the Rfam family "Bacterial small subunit ribosomal RNA", at positions 338 to 699 of the family's 1533-position model. The record is from RNAcentral.
CCUACGGGUGGCUGCAGUCGAGAAUCUUUCACAAUGGGGGAAACUCUGAUGGUGCGACACCGCGUGGGGGAAUGAAGGUCUUCGGAUUGUAAACCCCUGUUAUGUGGGGGCAAAUUAAAAAGAGCGUACCACACGAGGAAGAGACGGCUAACUCUGUGCCAGCAGCCGCGGUAAUACAGAGGUUUCAAGCGUUGUUCGGAAUCCCUGGGCGUAAAGCGUGCGUAGGCUGUUGCGUAAGUCGUGUGUGAAAGGCGCGGGCUCAACCCGCGGACUGCACAUGAUACUGCGAGACUAGAGUGAUGGAGGGGGAGCCGGAAUGUUCGGUGUAGCAGUGAAAUGCGUAGAGAUCG